CAAUCAUACAAGUAGCAUUCCCUUUUCCAAACUUUCCUAUCCUCUUCCAAAUACUUUACAUUUUCUCCACCUACCCAAAACUUCCAUUCAACAAUUGCUUCAUCCUAACAGUUGAAAAUGAAGUUUAUUAAUUCGGCAAAAAAAUUUGCGGUGCAAUCUGAUUGGUCUCUUGUCAGAGUUGUAUUUUUAUUUUCAACGACCGUGAUUUCCUUGAUUAAAUAUGUUCCCAAGGCAUUGUUACUCAACGAGUAUGAUCUUCACAGCUGGAAAACCAAGGUGUGUGCCUGGAAUGAAGAAAUAUCGUGGGAGAAACACCUACGUAUUGGAGUCCAGGAGGCCAUCUCCAGUGUAUCGCAGAACUGGUUAUAGCCUUCAAAAGUUUCUAUCAAGUUGAAAAUGAAGUUUAAUAAGGAAUCCAUUAUGUGACAAUAUAUCUGCAAGUGUUGAUAUUCAUGUCUUCCAUCACAUUGCAAAUGAGUUCACAUGUGAUAUGAAUAGAGAUGAUAUAAGGAAGUCAACAUUUGUUUGAUAUAGAGCAAGAGGAAGACAACAUUUGUGUGAUAGGAACACACAUUAUAUAUACAACUAUAGGAAGAAGUAUUUCACUGUUUUUAUUUUAUUUUAUUGUCUUAAGGUUAAAUAUAAAGACAAUUCACAUGUACUCUAAGUUCUCAUUUUCUGAUCAUGUUGAAUUUUUAAA
This is a long non-coding RNA of Lathyrus oleraceus (garden pea), 700 nucleotides long. RefSeq lists it as uncharacterized. The record is from RefSeq and is a predicted model, not a curated record. Lineage: Eukaryota; Viridiplantae; Streptophyta; Magnoliopsida; Fabales; Fabaceae. The transcript has 5 exons.